RNAcentral lists this transfer RNA (69 nucleotides) under Psylliodes cupreatus. RNAcentral's name for it is "tRNA-Gln". The record is from RNAcentral. Lineage: Eukaryota; Metazoa; Arthropoda; Insecta; Coleoptera; Chrysomelidae.
UACAUCUUAGUAUAGUAUGUAUAUUAAUUUUUGAUAUUAAGGGGGAUAGUUAAAUUCUAUUAGGUGUAA